This 2174-nucleotide long non-coding RNA is filed under the name Equus asinus (donkey). Its description in RNAcentral is "lncRNA (ENSEASG00005026824.1)". Lineage: Eukaryota; Metazoa; Chordata; Mammalia; Perissodactyla; Equidae. The record is from RNAcentral.
CUGCUCACAAUGCCCACCCCGUUGCUAAGUGACGUGAGCGCGAGGCUCUGAGGGAGCGGGCGCGCCCUCUGGUGGUGCCUAGGCACAGGCACAGGCUGUGGCCAGUGCUUCCUCAAGGCGGCUCUGGCCCCUGUUUUCUUGUGGGUCCUUCAGACCGUUGGACGGAUGGAAGGAGCAAGGCAGGAAGGGAACAAAGACAGAAGGAAGAUAGGAAGGUGAUAUAUUUUAGUACGGUUUUCCAGCGUGUUACUUAAAUCUAGAACGAAGUUUAGGAAAACACAGGAAUGGACAUGUGACACUUUACUGGUAAAAUCUGUCGCGUUUGGAUUCCUAUUCAUCUCCUAUAUUUUCAUUGUUCUUUAGGGAAUCAAAUAGAGACCUCUAUGUUUCACUGCGAACUCCCGAGUUGAAUAUCCUUUGUCAUAGUUAGAAAGCGCAAUAUUUAAAUGUUUUGUGUACACCUUGUACCAGUUACCAGUUUGUUUCCUCACUGCCCUAACUCCAUCUUUCCUUGUUCUGCUUUGCGAUAUGGAAGGUAACCCUGUAGGUGUUUCUUUGUUGACAGCUGGGUCAACGGCCGCUUUUCAGUAGAUGGGAUUGGAGAGCGAGUGCGUGGAGAAGGGGUCUUCCUCCAGUUUCUGAAAUGCUUUUCCAUUCUUACUCUGAUGGUGGUCUGCAGCCAGUGGCCUGCUGGCUACACAGGGUCAUAUGGUCUCCUGUGAGUUUGACAGCACUUACAGACAGCUGGGUCUGUCAACGGACUAACCUUCCAGAGAUUUCACUAGCACACUCCCAACGCUCCUUCCCCCUUUCAAGAGGCUUCCUUGCACGUUCUGUAGAUCUUUUGUCUUCUUGAACAUAGGAAGUUUUAUUUGUAACAGCUUAUUUAACAACCUUUUCUAUGAAUUCUAUCAACUGUAUAAUUUCUUGGAAUUCUAGCCACUUUGGCUUUCCUAAGUUCUCAACUCUUCAAUUCAGGGCAGCUAGCUUACCCUUUUCUCUCCUGUGCUGUGGCCCGAAAAGUGUCUGCAGGCAGGACACCAGGGCAAUCCCAGGACUCACUUCUUUUCUCCUCCUCUCAUGAAUCCUUCUUCUGAUUGGCCUGUUUUCAACUGUUGUUUUAUUUGUUUUUUCCAGUUUUUUCUUUGUUGAAGGCAGCAAAGGUAAAUCUGGUCCUUGUUACUCCAUCGUGGUUGGAGUGGCAGUCCACUUCUUCUUUUUUAAUACUACCAAUUAGAUAGUAUUAUGAUAAUUAAUAUUUUUAAGAAGUGCUUGUUUGCCCUCACAGACAUGUUUCCCAUUGUUGGUCACCAUUCUUUCUUGCUCAUUAGGUUGUCCUUCUAGGAUAAUUUUCAUUCUUCCUGAAGAGCAUCCGUUUGAGGUUCGUUUAGUGAAGUCUUGGUGGUGAACUCUUGUUUUUAUUGGUAAAUAUUUUAUCAUCAUUCUGAAAGAUACAUUUCCUAGAUGCCAAGUUCUGGGUUUUCACCUCAACCCUGUAAAGACAUUAUCUUGCUGCCUUCUGGCUUCCAUUUGUUGCCGUUGAGCCGUCUGCUUCCCAAAGUCUAGGCUAUUUUGGAGCCGAAAGGGACUCUGGGUAUUGAUGGGCCAGGUUCCUCGUGUUAACGCCCAUGCUGAAGAUUAGAACCUCUAGGCUCAGAACUGCCCCCAGGUCACACAAUCUGACAGUUGGGGACUGGGACCCGCGCCCCAGUGCUCUGAGUUUCAGGCCUCAGCUAGCCCAGUUUCUUAACCAAAUUUGCGUGUCUUUGGCCCAGAGAGGUAGGGAGGGGUCCUGGAGCUUCUGUCUCCUCAUCUGUGAAACAGGGUCAAACACAGACCCUCCCUGUAUAGCUGGAGGUUACAUAGAUAUGGCCCAACCCACGGGAUGCCACCCACUGGUAGGAAUGUGAACAUGGGAGGUGGAGGAAGGGCUAGACCAUUGAGAGUCCCCAGAGGCAGGGGUGAGAGGCGAAGGGCGUAGAGGCGGAGCUUCAGACGCCAGAGGAGGGAAUUCAAGAAUUUGGGGCGGGGCUUGAAGUUUGAAGCUUUUAGAUGUGCAGCUGGCAGUUGCCUGGGCCCGGAGAAGCCGCGAACGGGAUUGUGUGAGAAGCUGGCCCCACCUUGGCAGCCCUGGUUGGAUGCAGCGAGUCACAGAGGCGGGGCCGGGGCUCGGG